UGAAAUUGUGAAUAGCAAUACGGGAGACCUGUUUUAAUUAGCUUAAAUGCAAAUCAGCUAUUUAAUGUCUACUGAAUGUAAAGACAAGUAGAAUUGUUUAUAAUUCUCUUUAAAUACGUGCAAACCAGGCAGCAAAUGCUGAUGAAUAAAAUAUUUAUAUUUAAUUUCAAACAAUUUAUUAAACCAAUAAACAGAAAGCAAAGUUUUACAGCCUCAUUUGGACGCCCACUGUGUUUUGCAGCAUUGGUGUCUCUACGACCACGAUUGAAGUCAGCAAACCAACGUUUUAUUGUGAUUUCUGAUGAUGCGGAGUCCCCAUAACACUUUUCAAGCCAUUGCUUCGCUUGAACGGUAUUUUUUCCCCAUCAAGAAGCAGUGUAAAAUUAAAACGCGAAACUUUUUAUCAUCCAUUGUUUUUAAAAUAACAAAUGUAGCGUUACUCUUACCACAAUAACUAGCAAACUAAUGAAUAGAAUGUCAUGAAAUUUCAACAGCUGUCUUUUGAAGAAAGGCUGUUCGUGCUAAAAUAUUGCUGAGCGAGCUGAGCGCUUGGAGUAAACGAAUUACGAUGCCAAUUGCAGUAAGUGAGUUACAUUGUUUCUUCAAAAUAUUACCAAACUCUUAAAUACUUGUGUUAUUUUCAACGAAAUUUCCUUUUUACCACAUUUCGAAGAGGAAGAAGUUAUUGCCAGUAUUUAUGUAAAUGAAUUUCUCAGCAGCUUCCAGUAUAAGGUAAGCGUAUGAAAAGGGAACGUGUGAUCAUGAAAAUUCUCCUGAGAUAACAAGAUGUACAACUCUCAUGUUACAGUUGACAGUUAAAAACUGUAACCGCCAGAUUGAACAAAGGUGCGGCUAACCGAAUUCAAAUAAUUUCUAAGAAAACUAAUGCACACACAUUGUAACUCAUUAACCAUUUAAGUCUGAAAGAGAUGACCGAGCACAUAUUCAUAAGAGUUUUGGGUAGUUUUAUCAACUCGGCCUUAAGAAAAUCAAUGAUACUGAAUCUCUGGUUGAGCGGUCUGAUAAUUAAAGUACAAUUAUACCGAUAGUUGACUCUCUGGAGAUAUUUCACAGAAGACAUGUUUUUAUUAUAUUUUAUUUUCUUAUUUAUUUAAAAUUUACUCUAAAAAUUCAUUUUUUCAUAUGAAUUACAUAUUUCUAAAAAAAGCCAGGG
Bactrocera oleae (olive fruit fly) is the source of this 1174-nucleotide long non-coding RNA. RefSeq lists it as uncharacterized. The record is from RefSeq and is a predicted model, not a curated record. NCBI's taxonomy places the organism in Eukaryota, Metazoa, Arthropoda, Insecta, Diptera, Tephritidae.